CCUACGGGAGGCAGCAGUGAGGAAUAUUGGUCAAUGGGCGAGAGCCUGACCCAGCCAAGUCGCGUGAGGGAGUACUGCCCUAUGGGUUGUAAACCUCUUUUGUCGGGGAGCAAAAGCCGGACGUGUCCGGCUGUGAGAGUACCCGAAGAAAAAGCAUCGGCUAACUCCGUGCCAGCAGCCGCGGUAGUACGGAGGAUGUGAGCGUUAUCCGGGUUUAUUGGGGUAAAAGGGGGCGCAGGCGGAUUUUUAAGUCAGCGGUAAAAUCGUGGGGCUCAACCCCAUCCAGCCGUUGAAACUGGGGAUCUAGAGUGUGCGAGAGGUAUGCGGAAUGCGUGGUGUAGCGGUGAAAUGCAUAGAUAUCACGCAGAACCCCGAUUGCGAAGGCAGCAUACCGGUGCACAACUGACGCUCAGGCACGAAAGCGUGGGUAUCGAACAGGAUUAGAUACCCGAGUAGUC
Molecule: ribosomal RNA, 458 nt
Filed under: uncultured bacterium
Lineage: Bacteria
Description: partial 16S ribosomal RNA
Rfam family: Bacterial small subunit ribosomal RNA
Source: RNAcentral